CGGGCUGCAGCAGCCUGCGGUAGCCUAGAAUGUUCGCUCGCCGCGGGCUUGUGCCUGAGAAAGCCCAGUGCAGCUCUGGAGCUUAGCAUAGAUAAAAGGAAGGUUGGUGCCCACCCUGGGCAUGAGCUGCAGGGCUCCACAUGGACAGCUGGGCCUCCAGCGUGUGGGCGGCCCGCUGGGCCAGGCGUCCUGCCCGGCCCCUGCCCGCGUCCUUGCCCCGCGCACGCGGCCCCCCCGGCCCCGGCAGGCCAGGCAGCCGCGUCCUAGGUGUGUGCCCCAGUCGCCAAGGCCCAGUGGACCGCUGUGGGCACCAGAGGCUCCUUUGGGACGACGCUUCCUUUGCAGAUAUCUGGCGCUUUUGCGAACGAAUUGUCAAGCCCUGAGAGUGGGAAGAACCUGACACCGGCUGAGCCAGAUCAUGGAGCAAAUCAACGGUGGUCUCCAGUUCCUGCACCGAGGGGCAAGAAAGCACCGAGGAACAUAACGCAGUGGAGAUCGUUUUAUUUUCCGGGACUUCAGGGAGUUCAACAAAAUGUACUGGAACUAUUGGGGGCUUUGUCGGCACUCAGCUGAAAGAAUACAUCCCAACAAUCCUCCUUAUUCAUUGUGGGACCUCCAGCAAGUCACUUCACCUCUCUGAGUCUCGGUUGUCUCAUGUGUGAAAGGGGAAGACAAUGCCCAACGCAGUAUAUUACUGUACAGAUAAAACAAGAGCUGCAUGACAAGUGCUGAUACCCACUAGUGCUCAAUAAGUAUCUAUUGGACGAUGAAGAAGUGAACAGAGACUUGCAGUUAAAUGGGUUGGAAUUGCUUUGUAUGUUUACUUUUUUUUUCCCCCUAACCAUACUAAAAUGGAAAUAAAGAGAUAAAUAGAAGUGUAAACUUACAGGGACGCAAAGAACAAAAGGAGCAUAACCUUGAUCUGUGACCCCUAGGCACAGGAAACAAAAAAGAAACCAUCCGUGUGACACCUGCCUAUCAGUUAGUCCUUGCGUCAUGAACCACUCCAAACAUGAUGGGCGAGAACCACAAUCAUUUGCUCACAAUUGUGCGAGUCGGUGGUUUGGGCUGGGCUCAGGUGGGUGCUUCUGCUGUUAUUAACCGAAUUCACCCCUUUGCAAUCAGGGGGGAGCUGGGGUGACUGUGGGCUGGGCUCUGCUGGGUGGGUUGGCUUCUCCCUCCCUGUGGUCUCUCACUCUGCAGGCGGGGGCUUUUGCUUCUUCACCCAGUGGUCUCAGAGUUCCUAGCAGCCAGCGGCUACCCCCCAGUGCACAAGCUUCUACUUGACUGGCAUUUGCUAAUGUCCCAUUGGCACGUCACAGAUUCAGCGUGGGAGAGAGUUGCAGAGAGUCAGGAUGCCUUGAUUCAUGAGGGAACAUUCUGCAACAUUAUUGCACAACUUCUGACGCACAUUCACCAUCUUUCUCAGUUAAGAGGAUCAUGUCUCCGUUGCCUAUUGAUAGAGAUGCUCUCCAGUGGUACUGACAGAGUCAGAGGUAGAUCGAAAGGGAUAAAAGCAGGUGCACAAGUGAGAUUGACUUAGCCAACCAGAGAAAAUGGAAACCAAAGUCUGAAGUGGGGGGACACCAAGAGGGAAACUGGGGAAUGCUACGGAUCCCCAGAGAGUCAGAAAUUGAAGGCACCAAGUACAUCUGAAAUUCAGAGCACAGGUGGGGCUGCAAACAGAGGAAUGGGCUGAAGGCCUGCGUAAGAGGCACCGUCCUGCCCCUCUGCAUCUUUGGUCCUGCCCCGCACAAUCCAGUGAAUACCCGUCCAUAGCCCAGAGUUAAGAUGGACCCUGGGCAAGGUGAAACCAGGAUUCUUAUCUCGGAAGACCAGGCACUGCUGAAGGUGGGGGCACCGUACUAAAAACUGGGGGGUUACUCAGCUAACAGUAAAAUAACAAUAAUAAGAAAAUUAGAUGAUGCCACAAGUAGAUUAAUAGAAAUUCCAGAGAGAGAAAAAAUAAAUGAAGAAGUUAUCAAAGACUUCAAUACAUUUCAGUACAAUUUCACAGUUUAAAGAAAUGAGUUUCCGAAUUGAAAAGGCCCACUGAGCACUUUGCAGAAUUAAUUUUAAAAGAAAAAAGAAUGUAAAGAAAGAGAAAAAGCAGAACUAAGGGAAAUCACUGUGAAAGUUCAGAAUAGCAGGAAUAAAGAGAAAAUCCUAACAGCUUCCACAGAGAAAAGAUCAAACAAACAAUCAACAAUGAAAACGAGACCCACAGAGGCUCAGAAAUCCAGAUGGCAUCAGACUUAGUGGCCACAGCAGGUGCUAGAAGAUAGUGGAGACGUGCUUUCAAAAUACUGAGGGCAAAUGAUUUUCAUACUAGAAUGCCAUACUCAGCCAAGCUGUGAUUGUGGUGGUAGGCUAACGAUAUUUUAGACAUUAAAGACCUGAAGAAAUUUACCUUACACGCAUCCUUUCUUAGGAAGUUACAAGAAAUAAGAAGUCACAGAAAACAGGACCUGCCUGUUACUAGCAUAUUGUCUCUUGUCUCAGAACUGUAAACCCACACUUGUAAUACUCUGCUACGUGAUGCCGGACUGAGAUUCUGAAAAUGCCUUCCGCCUCGGCCAGCUGGCUCCCUGUUAACUUGUGCUCAUAGGGAAGGGGUUUGCCAGAGGGGGACGGGAGGGCUGGAGAAGGACGGAGGGACGUGCUCCCUCCUGUUUGCUUCCUAUCUGCAAUUCCUGAGAGGAUCACGCUGGCCACCUCUUCACCUUGGCAGAAAAACCUUCCUGAAGCAACAGCUGAAGCCAGUUUGCAGUUUUCCCAACACUUGCAGAAUCUACUUUACUGUGCCCUAGAUCUAGAUCGCAAUACCAGCACCAGCACCAGCCCAACCACCGCCUUCACUGCCCCACCUCCGCCUUCCCACACAUGCAGUUAAAAUUACUGGUAUGGCUUUUGGCUUUUGGCUCGGGGAGGCAAAGGUGCAACUUUCUUCGGUCGUCCCGAAUCCAGGUUCAUCCGACACCAGCCACCUCCGCCAUGCCGCCUAAGUUCGACCCCAACGAGAUCAAAGUCAUGUACCUGAGGUGCACCGGUGGCGAAGUCGGUGCCACGUCUGCCCUGGCCCCGAAGAUCGGCCUGCUGGGUCUGUCUCCAAAAAAGGUUGAUGAUGACAUCGCCAAGGCAACCGGUGAUUAGAAGGGUCUAAGGAUUACGGUGAAACUGACCAUUCAGAACAGGCCCAGAUUGAAGUGGUACCUUCUGCCUCUGCCCUGAUUAUCAAAGCCCUCAAGGAACCACCAAGAGACAGACAGAAGCAGAAAAACAUUAAGCGCAGUGGAAAUAAUCACUUUUGAUGAGAUUGUCAAUAUUGCCCGACAGAUGCGACACUGAUCUUUAGCCAGAGAACUCUCUGGAACCAUUAAAGAAAUCCUGGGGACUGCCCAGUCUGUGGGCGGCAAUGUUGAUGACCGCCACCUUCAUGACAUCAUAGAUGACGUCAACAGUGGUGCAGUGGAAUGCUCCGCUAAUUAACUACAAAGGAAAAUGUUUCAAUAAAGGAUCAUUUGACAACCAAAAAAAAAAAAUUACUGGUAUGGUUUCUGAAACCUGAUAGUAGUGAGAGGAGACCCCCGCCCAAUGGGCUAUGCAUCAGACUGGUGGGUUGCUUGAAUGGAUAGCCCCAGUUGGUGACCUUCCUGUAUCUAUGCUCUUUGCAGACUGACUUCCAGAAUCUUUCAUUGAAACAUGGAAUCUGUUUCUCUACACCUUGAUUCUGGACUGCCACUGUGACUUGUUUGGCUGGGAGAAUGAGAUGGAAGUCAUGGUGAACCAGUUCCAAUCCUAGCCUCAGGAGGUCUUGGGUAUUUCCUUUCUCUCUCUUUGGAGUCCUCGUCUCCACCAUGCAAUCUCAGCUAACCCGCUGGAGGAAAAGAAAUCAUGGGGCAUGCCAUCCUGCAGCCAGCUGCCUCACCCCUACCCUCCCAAGCAGGGCUGUAGUUAACUGCAGAUGCCUGAGGGAGUCCAGCUGAGCCUGGGAGGACCAGCGCGAAGAGCUCAGCCCAAACUCCAGCCUGCGGGACUGUGAGCUGAAUUAAGUGAUUGUUGUUUUUAACCACUACAUUUUAGAGUGAUUUGUUGUGCAGAAAUAGCUAAUUGAUUCACAGGCUUAGUUAGAGAGCAACCAGUCCAUAUUGGAGCAGGAGGCCUCAAGGCUCACCAGUGGAUGUAUUCAGGAAACAAAAUGAUACCCUUAGAUAAGCUAAUGUGUUUGAGUAUGUUGAAAGAAUAUUUACAUUUCUAGGGGAGAGUUAAGUAAUGAUUUGCUUUUAGAUUCAUUCAUAGAAAGCUAGGCAAUUUAUAAUCAAAAAAAUUGUACAAGAAAGACAAUGCAUCAUAAAGUUUGACAGGUCUUACCUAUGAAUAAUAUUCACACAACCAUAAUAAAGCAAACACUGAAUAUUGUUUUAACUUUAAAUUAUGGUAUAAUGAUAUUGGGAGGCCGGGGCUGGGUGUGACUCAUGCACAUGUGUGAUGGAAGAUGAAGAGGUAAAAUGGGGAGAAAUCUAAAUCCUAUCUUCCAUGAUUAGAAGUCAAGAAAUAGCAGAAUGAAUAUGUUGGAAGCAUAGAGAAAUUUCAGAAGAAACAACUAAAUUAAGUAGAUGGCUCUGUGAAGUCACAGCGUUAGUGGGGUGAGUUGGGACUUAUUGUAAGCUUUGUGGUACUAUUUGAUAUGACUGUGUGAGUGUAAUAAAUAAAUAUAUGUGUG
This is a long non-coding RNA of Mirounga angustirostris (Northern elephant seal), 4723 nucleotides long. RefSeq lists it as uncharacterized. Lineage: Eukaryota; Metazoa; Chordata; Mammalia; Carnivora; Phocidae. The transcript is spliced from 3 exons. The record is from RefSeq and is a predicted model, not a curated record.